GGCAUCAUAGCUCAGUUGGUUAGAGCGUCAGCUUAACAGCUCAUACUGUUCGCUGAAGGUCUGCGGUUCGAGCCCGCGUGACGUCA
Non-coding RNA from Microstroma glucosiphilum, 86 nucleotides. Lineage: Eukaryota; Fungi; Basidiomycota; Exobasidiomycetes; Microstromatales; Microstromataceae. The record is from the annotation of a RefSeq genome assembly.